This 102-nucleotide microRNA precursor is filed under the name Marmota monax (woodchuck). Lineage: Eukaryota; Metazoa; Chordata; Mammalia; Rodentia; Sciuridae. The record is from RNAcentral.
AGUGCAAUUGUAGGUUAUAUGGUAACUCUAAAGUUGACCAGUUGAGGAACCUCCAGAGUAUUUUCCAAAGUGGCUGCACCAUUUUAUAUUCCCAUCAACAGU